GGAAAGGUGCCAGAGUGGUUGAAUGGGCCUGUCUCGAAAACAGGUGUAGGGUCUUGCCCUACCGUGGGUUCGAAUCCCACCCUUUCCG
This 88-nucleotide transfer RNA is filed under the name Anaerolineaceae bacterium. RNAcentral's name for it is "tRNA-Ser". It matches the Rfam family "tRNA". From Rfam's summary of the family: Transfer RNA (tRNA) molecules are approximately 80 nucleotides in length. Their secondary structure includes four short double-helical elements and three loops (D, anti-codon, and T loops). The record is from RNAcentral. Lineage: Bacteria; Bacillati; Chloroflexota; Anaerolineae; Anaerolineales; Anaerolineaceae.